This is a long non-coding RNA of Homo sapiens (human), 2076 nucleotides long. RefSeq lists it as uncharacterized. The transcript has 4 exons. The record is from RefSeq and is a predicted model, not a curated record. Lineage: Eukaryota; Metazoa; Chordata; Mammalia; Primates; Hominidae.
CUCUCUGGACCUCCCAAAGCGCUGAUUACAGGUGUGAGCCACAAUGCCCGGCCUCGUGAUUCUUACAAUUGUAUCACUCCUGUGUUUGUCCGGGGUUUAUCACUGCAGCGGCCCCUUCUCCGUCCAUCUGGGGCCCGCUGUCCCCUCAGGAUGCUGUCAGCCUUGGAGCUGGCAGAGACCAGUCUGGCCCUGGAUGCCCAGACCUUACCUCUCCUCUGAUGCAGGGUCCUCUUCCUCCACCUGGUUCACCCCCCAGCUUCCUGGCACAGUUCUUGCUCCCUGUAGCAGCAAGAGACUGAGCUUAAUGCCAGGAAAUCUGGGCUGUGGGACAUGAGGUUGGGCUGCCAGUGAGGGUGGCACUGAGCUGACCACCCAGGACAAUGGUGGCACCUGGGGCUAUGGCGAUGGGGGCCACAUGGGCUGGGCAAGGCACUCUGGAGAUGGCUGCCCAGAAGGAUGAUGACCUGGUAGGACCAGGCCUAAGCGACCCUGUGUGAGGCAGGAGAAGCCAGCAGCUUGCCCCCAGCAGUGUGCGGUGUUUGUGAGGAAGCUGCCGGCCCAGCAGGGCACCAGGAAAGCCCUCCCGUCUCCAAAGAGGGCCUGCACAGCUUUGCCAAUGGUUUUUUUCCAGGGUAGCUGCCAGGUCCUGGAAUGAGCAAGACUCAGCUGCCCAGAGGGGUCCCUGCGGACAGCAGGGGCUGGGAUGGGACACCUGAUAGCCAGUGAGAAAUGCAAGCACAACUUGGGAGAAACACAAGUCUUAUUUUCAGUCUUACAGAUAAGGCGAUCCUCAUUUUGUCAUGUGCAUUUGUGUACCCACUGAAUAGCAAAAUAACAGCAAGAAAAGAUGACAAUUUAUAUUUUCAUAGACCCAGAAAAAGUAACAGGCAACCCUGUGUUUCAAAUUUUCGAUUAGUUGAUUUUACAGUGCAAACAUGGAAGAAUCUGCAGCAUGGUAGGAGAAAAUAAUUUUAUUAAUUUUAUAAUUUUACUGAGAUUGCUAUUUAAAAUAAUUAGAUGUGGGGAUACUACAGGAAAAUAGGAAAACGUUCAUGCUGCAGAUGAGUUUUUCAGAUGAGUUUUAACAAAUAUUUUUGAAUCUUGAAUCUUUGAAUAAGAUGAAAUUAUUCUGAAUAUGUGUGUUUGGGUGAUAACAGUUGCCAACAAAAAUAUGGCUCAUAACACCAGUUUCAUUUGAUUGCCUUUGGUACAUUUUUUAAAAUGCUACACUACUUUAUUCCACAUUAGGUGAAAUUUAUUUUUUCUUAAAGUCAGAUUUUAUCAUGUAAAAAAACAUUCUGGAUAUGUAGGUAAAUUUGAUUUAUUAUCUGAUUAUAGGAGUUUCUGACUGUAACUGGCAUUGUUUGGAUACAGGAGAGUUAAUUAAUCAUCAUUAAUGAAUCACAGUUAAUAUGUCCAUUACAGUUGAGUGCUACAUCUUUACACUGGAAGAAGCAGUGGAUGUGUAGCAGAAACUUUCGAGUAAAAUAGUUCUGGGUUCUUAAUCCCUUCUCUGAUAUCUACCAACUCUGUGUCCUUAGGCAAGUUAAUUACCAUCACUUUCCUGAUCCAUAAAGGGAAUAAUACCAAUGUCUACAAAAUACAGUCAGAGUGAAGUUUCAUGAAGUGAUGAAUGUAAAUAACCUGGCAGAGUGCCUGGGGAUACAGCAUGAUUCAUCACGAUACCUACUAAUAUUAAUACUGUCCAGUUAGAAAAUUAUUUAGAUAAAAUCAUCUGGGUAAUCAUCACGGUGUAUUAGCAACACAAAAUCAAUUUAUAACCUCUUUUUACUCCUGCUGGAGAAGCUGUAAAGCCUAAAGAUUUGCCUUCUCAGUUUCCUUCUGGCUAGAGCUAGUCAUGAGACCUUGUGGCCAAUGGAAUGAUACCAACAUACAAGACUUCUGGAAAAACCGGACAGACUCAGGGUCCAUUUGGACCUCAGGGCCCUCUAGGAUACCCAGGACCUCCAGGUGUCAAGGGUGCAGAUGGAAAUCGGGGUCUGAAGGGCCAUAAGAUGAAAAGGGUCCACAGGGUCAGCCGGGUCCUCGAGGUGCCACUGGGAACUCUGGAGCUAA